RNAcentral lists this ribosomal RNA (459 nucleotides) under uncultured bacterium. RNAcentral describes it as "partial 16S ribosomal RNA". It matches the Rfam family "Bacterial small subunit ribosomal RNA", at positions 338 to 795 of the family's 1533-position model. The record is from RNAcentral.
CCUACGGGAGGCAGCAGUGAGGAAUAUUGGUCAAUGGUCGGGAGACUGAACCAGCCAAGCCGCGUGAGGGAUGAAGGUACAGAGUAUCGUAAACCUCUUUUGUCAGGGAACAAAGGCGGGGACGUGUCCCCGGAUGAGUGUACCUGAAGAAAAAGCAUCGGCUAACUCCGUGCCAGCAGCCGCGGUAAUACGGAGGAUGCGAGCUUUAUCCGGAUUUAUUGGGUUUAAAGGGUGCGCAGGCGGUCUGUUAAGUAAGCGGUCAAAGCCCGGGGCUCAACCCCGGCCCGCCGUUGAAACUGGCAGUCUUGAGUUGGAGAGAAGUAUGCGGAAUGCGCGGGGUAGCGGUGAAAUGCAUAGAUAUCGCGCAGAACUCCGAUUGCGAAGGCAGCAUGCCGGCUCCACACUGACGCUGAGGCACGAAAGCGUGGGUAUCGAACAGGAUUAGAUACCCGUGUAGGC